RNAcentral lists this non-coding RNA (255 nucleotides) under Sporobacter termitidis. RNAcentral also lists the same sequence under 1 other name. Lineage: Bacteria; Bacillati; Bacillota; Clostridia; Eubacteriales; Oscillospiraceae. The record is from RNAcentral.
GGGCGGGACACGCAAUCUUGUUCAGCUGAACAAGGGAAUCAGGUGAGAAUCCUGAGCACGUUUUGAGCCGCCGCCGCGCCCUUUGGAGCGGCCCGGUUCCAAUUCAGUAGCUGUAAGCAUGGAGCGUAUCCUUUUUCUGCGAAAGCAGGUCACUGGCUGCUGUAAUGGCUCGACCGGGAAGGCGAAGGGUGCGCGCCGGCGCGAAAAGCGCCCGAACAUGCAAGUCAGAAGACCUACAAGAAGGCAUCCCCCACG